This 253-nucleotide ribosomal RNA is filed under the name uncultured bacterium. Its description in RNAcentral is "partial 16S ribosomal RNA". It matches the Rfam family "Bacterial small subunit ribosomal RNA", at positions 524 to 776 of the family's 1533-position model. The record is from RNAcentral.
UACGUAGGAGGCAAGCGUUGUCCGGAGUUACUGGGCGUAAAGCGCACGCAGGCGGUCUUGUCAGUCUGGAGGGACAGGGCACAGCUCAACUGUGUCAGGCUUAUGGAAACUGCAAGACUUGAGGGCUUCAGAGGGAUGGGGAAUUCCGGGUGGAGUGGUGAAAUGCGUAGAGAUCCGGAAGAACACCAAAGGCGAAGGCACCAUCCUGGGGAGUCACUGACGCUCGGGUGCGAAAGCUAGGGGAGCGAACGGG